RNAcentral lists this ribosomal RNA (438 nucleotides) under Triticum aestivum (bread wheat). RNAcentral describes it as "partial small subunit ribosomal RNA". The record is from RNAcentral. Lineage: Eukaryota; Viridiplantae; Streptophyta; Magnoliopsida; Poales; Poaceae.
AUGAGUCUAUUGGCCUGGAACUGUCGAGGACUGGGGUUGGACUCGAUAGUUGGUGAGCUUAGAGACCUGAUACGGUCCUACAACCGAGCGGUGGUGUUUUUAUCGGAGACAAAAAAUAAAGUACAGGCAAUGGAGAGACUGAAGUGGAGCUUAGGGUUCAUACAAGGAGUUGUGGUGGAUUGUGUUUGCAAGAGUGGACGGCUCGCUUUGUGGUGGAGAGAUCAUGUGAAUGCGACAGUCAGACUGUGGUGUCAAUACUACAUAGAUACUCAGAUGGAGGUGGAUGGGAAUACCUAUAGGUUCACUGGAAUCUAUGGGGAGCCGUUUGUGGAAAAGAGGAAGAAAAUGUGGGAGGUGUUGAGGUAUUUGAGGACCCAAGAUAAUCUACCUUGGAUAUGUGUUGGAGGCUAUAAUGAGGCAAUUGUGCAGAAGGAGUAG